This 253-nucleotide ribosomal RNA is filed under the name uncultured prokaryote. RNAcentral's name for it is "partial 16S ribosomal RNA". It matches the Rfam family "Bacterial small subunit ribosomal RNA", at positions 525 to 777 of the family's 1533-position model. The record is from RNAcentral.
ACAGAGGUCCCAAGCGUUGUUCGGAUUCACUGGGCGUAAAGGGUGCGUAGGUGGUCGGAUAAGUUUGAUGUGAAAUCUCCGGGCUUAACCCGGAAACUGCAUUGAAUACUAUCUGGCUAGAGGGUUGGAGGGGGGACUGGAAUACUUGGUGUAGCAGUGAAAUGCGUAGAUAUCAAGUGGAACACCAGUGGCGAAGGCGAGUCCCUGGACAACUCCUGACACUGAGGCACGAAAGCUAGGGGAGCAAACAGGA